UUAAUUGAAGCCAAAAAAGAGGCAUAUCACUGUUAAUGAUAAUAAUGGGAUUUUGAAUAACCCAAUUAAA
Molecule: transfer RNA, 70 nt
Filed under: Scarabaeidae sp. BMNH 1274750
Lineage: Eukaryota; Metazoa; Arthropoda; Insecta; Coleoptera; Scarabaeidae
Description: tRNA-Asn
Source: RNAcentral